This 182-nucleotide small nuclear RNA is filed under the name Nannospalax galili (Upper Galilee mountains blind mole rat). RNAcentral's name for it is "U2 spliceosomal RNA (ENSNGAG00000003761.1)". It matches the Rfam family "U2 spliceosomal RNA". From Rfam's summary of the family: U2 is a small nuclear RNA (snRNA) component of the spliceosome (involved in pre-mRNA splicing). Complementary binding between U2 snRNA (in an area lying towards the 5' end but 3' to hairpin I) and the branchpoint sequence (BPS) of the intron results the bulging out of an unpaired adenosine, on the BPS, which initiates a nucleophilic attack at the intronic 5' splice site, thus starting the first of two transesterification reactions that mediate splicing. The record is from RNAcentral. Lineage: Eukaryota; Metazoa; Chordata; Mammalia; Rodentia; Spalacidae.
AAAUCAUUUAUGCUGAGAUCACGGUAGUAUCUGUUCUUAUCAGUUUAAUAGUUGAUAGGUCUUCUAUCUGAGAACAAUAUAUCAGGUAGAUUUUUUUUAGUCAGUAAUCAAUUAGGAACUUGUUGCAUCUACUGCACACAUUGAGCUGGAAUUGUAGUACCUCCAGGAACAGUGCACCCCCA